This 1364-nucleotide ribosomal RNA is filed under the name uncultured bacterium. RNAcentral's name for it is "partial 16S ribosomal RNA". It matches the Rfam family "Bacterial small subunit ribosomal RNA", at positions 28 to 1387 of the family's 1533-position model. The record is from RNAcentral.
GAUGAACGCUAGCGACAGGCUUAACACAUGCAAGUCGAGGGGCAGCACGAUGUAUCAGUACAUUGGUGGCGACCGGCGCACGGGUGAGUAACGCGUAUGCAACCUACCUAUCAGAGGGGAAUAACCCGGCGAAAGUCGGACUAAUACCGCAUAAAACAGGGGUUCCACAUGGAAAUAUUUGUUAAAGAAUUAUCGCUGAUAGAUGGGCAUGCGUUCCAUUAGAUAGUUGGUGAGGUAACGGCUCACCAAGUCCACGAUGGAUAGGGGUUCUGAGAGGAAGGUCCCCCACACUGGUACUGAGACACGGACCAGACUCCUACGGGAGGCAGCAGUGAGGAGUAUUGGUCAAUGGGCGAGAGCCUGAACCAGCCAAGUCGCGUGAAGGAUGAAGGAUCUAUGGUUUGUAAACUUCUUUUAUAUGGGAAUAAAGUGAGGAACGUGUUCCUUUUUGUAUGUACCAUAUGAAUAAGCAUCGGCUAACUCCGUGCCAGCAGCCGCGGUAAUACGGAGGAUGCGAGCGUUAUCCGGAUUUAUUGGGUUUAAAGGGCGAGUAGGCGGGAUUGCAAGUCAGAUGUGAAAACUAUGGGCUCAACCCAUAGACUGCAUUUGAAACUGUAGUUCUUGAGUGAUGGAGAGGCAGGCGGAAUUCCCGGUGUAGCGGUGGAAUGCGUAGAUAUCGGGAGGAACACCAGUGGCGAAGGCGGCCUGCUGGACAUUAACUGACGCUGAGGCGCGAAAGCGUGGGGAGCAAACAGGAUUAGAUACCCUGGUAGUCCACGCUGUAAACGAUGAUUAAAAGGUGUGGGGGGUACUGACCCCUUCCGUGCCGGAGUAACACAAUAAGUAAUCCACCUGGGGAGUACGGCCGCAAGGUUGAAACUCAAAGGAAUUGACGGGGGCCCGCACAAGCAGUGGAGUAUGUGGUUUAAUUCGAAGCAACGCGAAGAACCUUACCAGGGCUUGACAUCCCGCUAACGAAGUAGAGAUACAUUAGGUGCCCUUCGGGGAAAGCGGAGACAGGUGGUGCAUGGUUGUCGUCAGCUCGUGUCGUGAGAUGUUGGGUUAAGUCCCGCAACGAGCGCAACCCUUAUUGUUAGUUGCUACGCAAGAGCACUCUAGCGAGACUGCCGUUGACAAAACGGAGGAAGGUGGGGAGGACGUCAAAUCAUCAUGCCCUUUAUGUCCUGGGCUACACACGUACUACAAUGGCGGUCAUACAGAGGGAAGCAAAACAGCGAUGUGGAGCAAAACCCUAAAAGCCGUCUCAGUUCAGAUUGCAGGCUGCAACCCGCCUGCAUGAAGUCGGAAUUGCUAGUAAUCGCGGAUCAGCAUGCCGCGGUGAAUAAAAUCCCGGGCCUUGCACU